ACUGCUCAGUAACACGUGGAUAACCUGCCCUUGGGUCUGGGAUAACCCCGGGAAACUGGGGAUAAUACCGGAUGACGCAUAUGUGCUGGAAUGCUUUAUGCGUAAAACGGAUUCGUCCGCCCAAGGAUGGGUCUGCGGCCUAUCAGGUAGUAGUGGGUGUAAUGUACCUACUAGCCAACAACGGGUACGGGUUGUGAGAGCAAGAGCCCGGAGAUGGAUUCUGAGACAUGAAUCCAGGCCCUACGGGGCGCAGCAGGCGCGAAAACUUUACAAUGCGGGAAACCGUGAUAAGGGAACACCGAGUGCCAGCAUCAUAUGCUGGCUGUCCAGAUGUGUAAAGUACAUCUGUUAGCAAGGGCCGGGCAAGACCGGUGCCAGCCGCCGCGGUAACACCGGCGGCCCGAGUGGUGACCGUUAUUAUUGGGUCUAAAGGGUCCGUAGCCGGUUUGGUCAGUCCUCCGGGAAAUCUGAUAGCUUAACUGUUAGGCUUUCGGGGGAUACUGCCAGGCUUGGAACCGGGAGAGGUAAGAGGUACUACAGGGGUAGGAGUGAAAUCUUGUAAUCCCUGUGAGACCACCUGUGGCGAAGGCGUCUUACCAGAACGGGUUCGACGGUGAGGGACGAAAGCUGGGGGCACGAACCGGAUUAGAUACCCGGGUAGUCCCAGCCGUAAACUAUGCUCGCUAGGUGUCAGGCAUGGCGCGACCGUGUCUGGUGCCGCAGGGAAGCCGUGAAGCGAGCCACCUGGGAAGUACGGCCGCAAGGCUGAAACUUAAAGGAAUUGGCGGGGGAGCAC
RNAcentral lists this ribosomal RNA (796 nucleotides) under uncultured archaeon. RNAcentral's name for it is "bacterial SSU rRNA". It matches the Rfam family "Archaeal small subunit ribosomal RNA", at positions 85 to 879 of the family's 1478-position model. The record is from RNAcentral.